GACGAACGCGGCGGCGUGCUUAACACAUGCAAGUCGAACGAAGAGCGAUGGAAGCUUGCUUCUAUCAAUCUUAGUGGCGAACGGGUGAGUAACGCGUAAUCAACCUGCCCUUCAGAGGGGGACAACAGUUGGAAACGACUGCUAAUACCGCAUACGAUCUAAUCUCGGCAUCGAGGAUAGAUGAAAGGUGGCCUCUACAUGUAAGCUAUCACUGAAGGAGGGGAUUGCGUCUGAUUAGCUAGUUGGAGGGGUAACGGCCCACCAAGGCGAUGAUCAGUAGCCGGUCUGAGAGGAUGAACGGCCACAUUGGGACUGAGACACGGCCCAGACUCCUACGGGAGGCAGCAGUGGGGAAUCUUCCGCAAUGGACGAAAGUCUGACGGAGCAACGCCGCGUGAGUGAUGACGGCCUUCGGGUUGUAAAGCUCUGUUAAUCGGGACGAAAGGCCUUCUUGCGAAUAGUUAGAAGGAUUGACGGACCGAAUAGAAAGC
RNAcentral lists this ribosomal RNA (491 nucleotides) under Veillonella parvula. RNAcentral's name for it is "bacterial SSU rRNA". It matches the Rfam family "Bacterial small subunit ribosomal RNA", at positions 28 to 491 of the family's 1533-position model. Lineage: Bacteria; Bacillati; Bacillota; Negativicutes; Veillonellales; Veillonellaceae. The record is from RNAcentral.